UUCACCAAAUGUCCCGGCCAAACCUAAGUCAGACUCAAAGAUAUCACGGAUUAUAUUAGUAACUAUAGAACAAAUUACUUAUCUUUUAGGCAAGACCGUAGAUGAAUAAUCCAGGGAAUGACCAUUUCAGAGUGACACAAGAUCCAAAGCUCAUCAGCAAUAUAAAACAACCAAGCAGCUACGGUGAAAGAGCACCCUGAUGGACGAUGUGUACACCAUCAUGAAUCAGUACAAUCCUUUAUGCAUAACUAUGUGAAACCCCUUGCCUCACAAAGACACUGAUUUAUCCACAUAAUAUGGCCUCCAAGUUUCGUGCAGCCCCACCAAUCUUUCAAAAAAUCCACCUGGGACAUGAAAAGUAGGUAUUACAAAUGGCACUGCAGAAAAGAGCCUUUUGUUUCAAACUUGCUCAUUAUAUGACAAAAGCCAACCAUGAAAGUGCAAAAGCAGCAUGAUUUAUAUUUUUAUUUCAUGGUAAAAUGCUGCUUGAGUAGCCUGGUCCACUCAAGUUGAAUGAGACAUGAUAGAAGUA
RNAcentral lists this long non-coding RNA (532 nucleotides) under Phoenix dactylifera (date palm). RNAcentral describes it as "long non-coding RNA (PDAC_LNC021106)". The record is from RNAcentral. Lineage: Eukaryota; Viridiplantae; Streptophyta; Magnoliopsida; Arecales; Arecaceae.